GAAUAGAAAUCCUUUACAAAAUGGGGAUGGUGAUAGAAACCUAUGACAAAGAUGGAAAUAGAAUAGACAUUUUCGACAAAAGUGGAAACCUUAUACAUGCUUUUAAGAAAGAAGAGG
Parasteatoda tepidariorum (common house spider) is the source of this 117-nucleotide non-coding RNA. The record is from RefSeq and is a predicted model, not a curated record. Lineage: Eukaryota; Metazoa; Arthropoda; Arachnida; Araneae; Theridiidae.